AUGUCAUUGUUCACUAUUCUAGUCAAUGUCCACUUGUCACUUUAACGAUCUCCAAAUCGACGAUCGGCACCGUUGAACAUGAUCUAUACCAUUUGAAGUAUUUAAAAACUAAAUUUUAAAUCUUUUUGGCAUCAUUAACCUAAUGAUGAAAGGGUUUUAAAAUUUAUAAUUUUAAUGAUCAAUAUAAGGCGUUUUCUCGUUUAACAGUGUAAAGAUAUCCAAAUCAAUUGAAUUUUGGGUAGAAAAUUUUUUAAACUAUUUAGAAAAAAAUCUAUACUCUCGAUCUUGAUUACAAGAUUCCUAUCAUCACUUUUUAAACGAUAUUCAUUUUCAGCCGUUCAUUUUGUGUCCACUUGAUGGACAAAAGAAUAACAUCGAAAAAGUAUGAAAUUUGAUUUCUAAAUGCUUCCAGUGGUAUAGAUCAUGUUCAAUAGUGCCGAUCGUUGAUUUGGAGGCUCCAUAAUAAAAAACAAAUGGCCGGCAACGGAGUCCGUUUACUACCGAUAACAUUCUAGCUCAACUCUCUCUCUCUCUCCUCUCUCUCUCACUCUCUAUAAAUAUAAUCAGCUAUACUAUUUCAACCAACACGGUUCAAAUUAAAAUGAAUCAUCUCAAAGCUUCGUAAUGAUCGAAUUUGAAACAUUAGCUUUGACAAAAAAUUUAGAUACUAAAGAUUUUUUUUAGACCAAUCGUCUCUAACAUAAGUGGCAAAAAUUUGAUAGUCGGUAUGCGAGAUCCCAGGUUUGAAACAUAGUUACUCGACAUUUUCAGCGGUACGCUAUCUUUCUUCAUUAAAAAAAAAAAAAAAAAAUCUUUUUAGCCCUACUGUAGAGUGUGUUAUUACUUAAUCUUAAAAGUAUUAUACGAAUAGUACUUUGGAGAUCAAAA
RNAcentral lists this long non-coding RNA (888 nucleotides) under Ananas comosus (pineapple). RNAcentral describes it as "long non-coding RNA (ACOM_LNC019447)". Lineage: Eukaryota; Viridiplantae; Streptophyta; Magnoliopsida; Poales; Bromeliaceae. The record is from RNAcentral.